Molecule: ribosomal RNA, 427 nt
Filed under: uncultured bacterium
Lineage: Bacteria
Description: partial 16S ribosomal RNA
Rfam family: Bacterial small subunit ribosomal RNA
Source: RNAcentral
UGGGGAAUAUUGGACAAUGGGCGAAAGCCUGAUCCAGCCAUGCCGCGUGUGUGAAGAAGGUCUUCGGAUUGUAAAGCACUUUAAGUUGGGAGGAAGGGCAUUAACCUAAUACGUUAGUGUUUUGACGUUACCGACAGAAUAAGCACCGGCUAACUCUGUGCCAGCAGCCGCGGUAAUACAGAGGGUGCAAGCGUUAAUCGGAAUUACUGGGCGUAAAGCGCGCGUAGGUGGUUUGUUAAGUUGGAUGUGAAAGCCCCGGGCUCAACCUGGGAACUGCAUCCAAAACUGGCAAGCUAGAGUACGGUAGAGGGUGGUGGAAUUUCCUGUGUAGCGGUGAAAUGCGUAGAUAUAGGAAGGAACACCAGUGGCGAAGGCGACCACCUGGACUGAUACUUACACUGAGGUGCGAAAGCGUGGGGAGCAAACA